This 378-nucleotide ribosomal RNA is filed under the name uncultured microorganism. Its description in RNAcentral is "bacterial SSU rRNA". It matches the Rfam family "Archaeal small subunit ribosomal RNA", at positions 330 to 713 of the family's 1478-position model. The record is from RNAcentral.
GUGCACCAGGCGCGAAAACUUUACAAUGUGCGAAAGCACGAUAAGGGAACUCUGAGUGCCUCCUAAGGAGGCUGUUCAGGUGUCUAAAAAGCACCUGGAGUAAGGGCUGGGUAAGACCGGUGCCAGCCGCCGCGGUAACACCGGCAGCCCAGGUGGUAGCCACUUUUAUUGGGUCUAAAGCGUCCGUAGCCGGUUGAGUAAGUUCCUUGGGAAAUUUGGCUGCUCAACAGUCAAGCUUCCAGGGAAUACUGCUCGACUUGGGACUGGGAGAGGUCAGAGGUACUCCAGGGGUAGGGGUGAAAUCCAUUAAUCCCUGGGGGACCACCGGUAGCGAAGGCGUCUGACCAGACCAGGUCCGACGGUGAGGGACGAAGGCUA